Molecule: long non-coding RNA, 870 nt
Filed under: Homo sapiens (human)
Lineage: Eukaryota; Metazoa; Chordata; Mammalia; Primates; Hominidae
Description: HSALNT0369871
Source: RNAcentral
AGAAGGCAAGGAGCCUGGGUAUCAUAGUCUGCAGAGGGCAGCCUCUUGGAAUAAAGGGCAGGGUAGAAGGAGUCUGUGGAUUUGAUCUGAAAGGCAACAAAAUAACUAGCACACUUUGUUCCUGUAAAUCAGGGGUUGGCAAACUCUUGCCUGUAAAGGUGGAAAGGGAGUGAUCCCUCUCCUCCCCAUCAUAAGGGCCACAGCCAACACUCCUUUAACAAAAGAUAGGUUAACAAGAGAAACUCAUAACAAAUUUCUUUAAACAUAGUUUUAUGUGACAUGGGAUCCUUCAGAGUGAAGACAAAAAUACAUGGGGAAAACUGUCCAUUUUUAUGCUGGGGUUUGAUGAAGAAUGGACAGCUGUGUAGGCCUGCAACUGGAUAAAAAGGACUGGAGUGUGUGCCAGAGGGCGUGCCAAGCUACAAGACAAUCACCUUCGAUUUCCCUGGAGAGUCAAUUUGACCAUAAGGAAUGACCGAAGGAUUGGGGAAGAAAAUACUCCCCCUGCUGAUGCUCCUUUGGUUCUACUUGGGAGUGAAGCUCACAAGAGGAGGGACUGCAAUAAACGUUCCCCAGAUGAUGCAGAGGUCUCUCUCUGCUGACAGUUAAUACCUUGCCUCCAAGCCUGAAUCGCCUUCCUGUCUGCGGGGUGUCUGAACGAACACAGCAAGAUGUGCAGGUCACUGAGUUAGAAGAAGUCGGCAGGGCCUAAGGCCUUCUGCAAGGUGUGACUCUCUCCCUCCAUACUGAGAACAUUUUGAAGUGACUUCAGAGGCUGCAGGGCUUGGGAAGUCCCAUGAGAACCGCUCCCCUUUCCCAAGGCACCGACAUGGCCUGUAGCCAGGCAUUGCUGUUUCUCAGCAGACUGAU